AUGGCCAAAUGCGGCAAGAUCCAGAGCAUCGUCCGCCUCCAGCAGACGCUGCGGCGGUGGCGUUCCCGGGCCGCGGCGGCGCCGACGGCUCCGGUGCCGGCGGGGCACGUGGCGGUGUGCGUGGGCAGCGAGUCGCGGCGGUUCGUGGUGCGCGCGGCGCACCUCAACCACCCCGUGUUCCGUGAUCUGCUCCGGCAGUCGGAGGAGGAGUACGGCUUCCCGUCCACCCCUGGCCCCGUCGCCCUGCCCUGCUGCGACGAGGACCGUUUCCUGGACGUCCUCCGCCGCGUGUCCUCCGAGGACCGCCGAGGCCGCUCGGUCUGCUGCCGCGUGCCGGUCGUCACCAGCCGCGACGUCGCGGCGCGGCCGCUCCUGCAGGGGAUGGCGGUGGAGAAGCUGGUGUGGUGA
Molecule: ribosomal RNA, 408 nt
Filed under: Triticum aestivum (bread wheat)
Lineage: Eukaryota; Viridiplantae; Streptophyta; Magnoliopsida; Poales; Poaceae
Description: partial small subunit ribosomal RNA
Source: RNAcentral